Molecule: ribosomal RNA, 803 nt
Filed under: uncultured archaeon
Lineage: Archaea
Description: bacterial SSU rRNA
Rfam family: Archaeal small subunit ribosomal RNA
Source: RNAcentral
GCUCAGUAACACGUGGACAAUUUACCCUUGGGACCAGGAUAACCCCUGGGAAACUGGGGCUAAUACUGGAUGGAGCACCGGCUGCUGGAAUGCGCGAUGCUCGAAAGCUGAGGCGCCCAAGGAUAGGUCUGCGGCUGAUUAGGUUGUUGUUGAUGUAACGGAUCAACAAGCCCGCGAUCGGUACGGGUUGUGAGAGCAAUAGCCCGGAGAUGGGUUCUGAGAAAAGAACCCAGGUCCUACGGGACGCAUCAGGCGCGAAAACUUUACAAUGUGCGAAAGCGCGAUAAGGGAACUCUGAGUGCCUCCUAAGGAGGCUGUUCAGGUGUCUAAAAAGCAUCUGGAGUAAGGGCUGGGCAAGACCGGUGCCAGCCGCCGCGGUAACACCGGCAGCUCAAGUGGUAGCCAUGCUUAUUGGGUCUAAAGCGUCCGUAGCCGGCUGAGUAAGUUCCUUGGGAAAUUUGACCGCUUAACGGUUAAGCUAUCAGGGAAUACUGCUUGGCUUGGGACCGGGAGAGGUCAGAGGUACUCCAGGGGUAGGGGUGAAAUCUAUUAAUCCUUGGGGGACCACCGGUAGCGAAGGCGUCUGACCAGACCGGGUCCGACGGUGAGGGACGAAGGCUGGGGUCGCGAACCGGAUUAGAUACCCGGGUAGUCCCAGCUGUAAACGAUGCGGGCCAGGUGUUGGCAUUACUGCGAGUGAUGUCAGUGCCAAAGGGAAGCCGUUAAGCCCGCCAUCUGGGGAGUACGGUGCGCAAGGCUGAAACUUAAAGAAAUUGGCGGGGGAGCACCACAACGGGUGGAGC